Molecule: ribosomal RNA, 190 nt
Filed under: uncultured microorganism
Description: partial 16S ribosomal RNA
Rfam family: Bacterial small subunit ribosomal RNA
Source: RNAcentral
CCUACGGGAGGCAGCAGUGAGGAAUAUUGGACAAUGGAGGCAACUCUGAUCCAGCCAUGCCGCGUGCAGGAAGACGGCCCUAUGGGUUGUAAACUGCUUUUAUACGGGAAGAACCACUCCGACGUGUCGGAGCUUGACGGUACCGUAUGAAUAAGGACCGGCUAACUCCGUGCCAGCAGUACGCGGUAAU